ACCACAACUUUGUAGUUUGUACAACAUCUACUUUUAGGUAUUCUACCUAGAUAGUUAGAUACAUGACACAAACCAUAGGCUUACAUAUUUCACGGCAUGAUUUGCUUUCAAAAUCCUGUGAGCAUGCACAUAACCUAAUUAAUAACUGCAUCUAUACUUAAAUAGUACUAGGGAAUAAACUUACAAUCAUCACAUUAUUAUUAUUAUUAUUAAUUAUUAUUAAAACGAAUUAUUAUACAGGAUAAAAACACUUCAGCAAAAGAAUAGCUGUUAUCAACGUGUGUCCUGUAAUGUUCAUAAAAAU
Paramuricea clavata is the source of this 304-nucleotide non-coding RNA. The record is from the annotation of a GenBank genome assembly. NCBI's taxonomy places the organism in Eukaryota, Metazoa, Cnidaria, Anthozoa, Malacalcyonacea, Plexauridae.